GCAACUUCGAACACUGCAAGACAUUAUGGGCUUGUUUGGUUUAUCUAUUUUGGAUAUGGAAUGAGAAUCAGUUUGAUCAAAUCCGAUUAAUUUUGUUUGGUUCGCAGGAAUCGGUUUGAGAUUCCUAUUCUGGACUGGAAUGGGAAUGGCCCAUCAGCCUUCAACUUGAUUCCGGUCUCCUAACCCGGAUUGAGACUUCAUUCCCGAAGACCACUAGUUCCCGAAGCUCAUGAGACCAUCUCAUCCUUCUCUCUCUGUAUACGAUCUCUCAGCCCUCUCUCAUCAAAAAAAAAAAAAAAAAAAACCUAUCCUAUAAUUUUUUAUAAUUUUUUUCUUACAUAAAAAUUUUUAAAAAUAAAUUUGAUAUUUUUUUUUUGGAAAACUUAUUAGAGAAUAGUAUUAUAUUUUUCAUAAAUUUUAAAUAAUAUAAAAUUAUAUUUGAGAGUUAAAUUAGUAUUAUGGUAUACUAUAAUUUUUUAGUUUAUAUGAAUCAAAUAAUGAAAUGAGAAUAACUCAUUCCAAUUUCCAAUCCACGAAUGAACGAAACGUCUUGGGCGAGUGGGCCAAUCCAAUUACCAUUCCAAUUCAUUCACAUUCUAUUAUCCAUUUCAAUUCCACCAUUGAACCAAACAAGCCUAUCAUAUGGACCAGAUUCGUCACAUCAUACGCCAACAGGAAUGUCAACGGAUUGGAUUCGGGAUCAAUUUUUAAAAAUUCAAAUUCGAACCUAAUAGCCAAAUCUGAGUGCAAAUCAGAAUCCGAUGAAUUUUAAAAAUUCACAUCUAAUCAGAACAGGAAUUCAAAACAAUCACUCCUCCUUAUCAUAUUUUAAAAUAGAUUAUAUUAAAAUAAAAAAUUUUAAAAUAUAAAUUAAAAUAUAUUAUGGAGCAUUUAUAUAUAUUAUAUAAUAAUAUAAAAACU
This 921-nucleotide long non-coding RNA is filed under the name Ananas comosus (pineapple). RNAcentral describes it as "long non-coding RNA (ACOM_LNC000241)". Lineage: Eukaryota; Viridiplantae; Streptophyta; Magnoliopsida; Poales; Bromeliaceae. The record is from RNAcentral.